UUUAACGGCCGCGGUAUCCUAACCGUGCAAAGGUAGCGUAAUCACUUGUCCCUUAAAUAGGGACCAGUAUGAACGGCUAAAUGAGGAUAAAUCUGUCUCCUUUAACAAAUCAGUGAAACUGAUCCACCAGUACAAAAGCUGGUAUAAUCCCAUAAGACGAGAAGACCCUGUGGAGCUUUAAAUUUAACCCAAGCAAUUAAACACAAACUUGCCACAUGGCCAAAAAUUUUAAGUUGGGGCGACUUCGGAAAAAAACCAAACUUCCGAGCAUAAGACUUUGUCAUAUCAAGACCUACAAGUCGAAACUUAAAUUGACCCAGUAAUACUGACAACCGACCCAAGUUACCCCAGGGAUAACAGCGCAAUCUUCUUCAAGAGUCCCUAUCGACAAGAAGGUUUACGACCUCGAUGUUGGAUCAGGACACCCAAAUGGUGAGCCGCUAUUAAAGG
Molecule: ribosomal RNA, 450 nt
Filed under: Sceloporus mucronatus mucronatus
Lineage: Eukaryota; Metazoa; Chordata; Lepidosauria; Squamata; Phrynosomatidae
Description: partial 16S ribosomal RNA
Rfam family: Bacterial large subunit ribosomal RNA
Source: RNAcentral